ACCCAGGACAUCCUGGAAAUAGACAUAUUGUUUGAAGUACUGGAAGAGGGAGGACUACAAGCUACCUUGAAACAUCUACAUGAAGAGUACAAUGGCAUUUAAGCCUGACAAGGUUAAUGAGGAAAACCAGUUGACUGGGGAGUUAGAUAAGUGUUAGUAUCUCAGUGUAAUAUUUUUAUCUCAUUCCUAGAGAAGAUUUUCAGAAACCUUGAAUGAGAAGAAAGGAUAUCAAGAUAGAGACUAUUGCUGAACCCCCUAGAGAUUUUCAAACAAUGGUCAGAGGAGAACUCAGAGAAGGAGUUUACCCUUAGGGUGAUCCCUCCAGCCAUUAACACAUUGGUUCUGUGCAGAUUGGGAGGAAGAAAUGCCCCCAGAUUAGUCACAAGCAACAUUUUCUGCAGCAGAUUCAGGUUUUCCUUGAAGGUCUCCCAUCCAUGCACAGACCAAGUCUCAUCCUGCUCAUCUUAGGAGAGCUGACAAGAUCACAGCCCAUAGCUACAGUCAGUUCAAAUUGGCCUGGUGUAAGAAUAAACACUGACUCAUUAACCUUUGCAACCCAGAGCCCUGUCAGGUAUCUGGAGCUGGAAAUAAAGGUUAAUACCCCCAUUCCAUGA
Molecule: long non-coding RNA, 614 nt
Organism: Chelonia mydas (Green sea turtle)
Lineage: Eukaryota; Metazoa; Chordata; Testudines; Cheloniidae
Exons: 2
Source: RefSeq, a predicted model, not a curated record